UGCCAGCAGCCGCGGUAAUACGAAGGGUGCUAGCGUUGUUCGGAAUUACUGAGCGUAAAGAGCAUGUAGGCGGAUGAAUUAGUCAGAGGUGAAAGCCCCGAGCUCAACCCCGGAACUGCCUCUAAUACUGCUAGUCUUGAGUUCGAGAGAGGUGAGUGGAAUUCCGAGUGUAGAGGUGAAAUUCGUAGAUAUCAGGAGGAACGCCGAUGGCGAAGGCAUCUCUCUGGGUCGAUAUUGACGCUGAGGCGCGAAGGCGUGGGUAGCGAACGGGAUUAGAUA
Molecule: ribosomal RNA, 279 nt
Filed under: uncultured bacterium
Lineage: Bacteria
Description: partial 16S ribosomal RNA
Rfam family: Bacterial small subunit ribosomal RNA
Source: RNAcentral